Molecule: unclassified non-coding RNA, 991 nt
Filed under: Hevea brasiliensis (rubber tree)
Lineage: Eukaryota; Viridiplantae; Streptophyta; Magnoliopsida; Malpighiales; Euphorbiaceae
Source: RNAcentral
GUCGAGUCUCUGAUCUUGGAAUUCAAGAGAAAUCCAAGGAUUUCUCUUUGCCGGAGAUCAUAGCUACUGAAUCUGCUCAUCUCUCCAGGAAAAUGGGAGUGAAGGACUGUACCGAGGCUGAGAUGGAUAGAGAGAGUGGAGGUUCAUCGGAGGAUAACGAGGAGUCGCCGAAAUCUGUCGGCAAGUGGGGAAGGAAUAUAAGCAACAUAGGUUUUGUGCAUAGCCAGGUGUUGAGGAUUAGAAAGGAGGAUUCACAUAUCGGUGAAGAUAUUGGUGAGGGAUUGAGCACCAAAGAUAAGGUUAUCAAUGCAGGUUUUGGUCAGAAUACGCAGCUUCGACGCGUGGCUUCGGCGGUGGAUGUUGUUUUCUUUUCGAGGCCGAUCUUGCCUUGCUCACCUCUUAGUGGGAAAACCAUCAACAAAGCCGUGCCGUGAUAAGCUACUCCAAUCAAUUAAAGGUUCGUCUUCUUUCCUUGUUUUUCAUGCUCGUUUAAUUUUUUUGUUUUUCCCUUACUGUAGAUUUCUUGAAAAUCAACUGGCGAUCGUAUCAUAAUUUUCAUCUCUUUAUAAUAAUUAUCUUUCAUCUUUUCCUUUAGUUUUAAUUUUCCGUUUGGAUGCUAAGAAAACUAUGGGAAAUUCAAGGAAAGUUCAAAAAAGAACUCCUAAGUAAAAGCUCUUGAUUUUUUUUUUUUUUAAUUUCCUUUAAAGGAACUGUUGUCGUAGCACUCCAUCGAAGGCAUGUAAAAUUUUAAGUUUUACAUUUCUUGUUCUUUAUCAUUUCCAUCACUUUCUUGGCCGAUCUUCCGCGAAAACGUUUAUCACGUGGUUGGUGACUUCACGCUAAAGAAAGAUUCCGUUUGCAGAUAAACCCUACCGUUUUACCGCGUGGUGAAUAGAUGAGGAGCAGCACGGCAGGUGGAAACUUGUGAGAGGAAGCCGUGAAAUGGGAUGUUUGGUUACAGUGGUGUUAUAGUUAUGGUUGUGGUUAAGGU